Molecule: ribosomal RNA, 370 nt
Filed under: uncultured organism
Description: bacterial SSU rRNA
Rfam family: Bacterial small subunit ribosomal RNA
Source: RNAcentral
CGUAGGGUGCAAGCGUUAAUCGGAAUUACUGGGCGUAAAGCGUGCGCAGGCGGUUGUGUAAGACAGGUGUGAAAUCCCCGGGCUUAACCUGGGAAUUGCAUUUGUGACUGCACGGCUAGAGUGUGUCAGAGGGGGUAGAAUUCCACGUGUAGCAGUGAAAUGCGUAGAUAUGUGGAGGAAUACCGAUGGCGAAGGCAGCCCCCCUGGGAUAACACUGACGCUCAUGCACGAAAGCGUGGGGAGCAAACAGGAUUAGAUACCCUGGUAGUCCACGCCCUAAACGAUGUCUACUAGUUGUCGGGUCUUAAUUGACUUGGUAACGCAGCUAACGCGUGAAGUAGACCGCCUGGGGAGUACGGUCGCAAGAUUA